GAUGAACGCUGGCGGCGUGCCUAAUACAUGCAAGUCGAGCGAACAGACGAGGAGCUUGCUCCUCUGACGUUAGCGGCGGACGGGUGAGUAACACGUGGAUAACCUACCUAUAAGGCUGGGAUAACUUCGGGAAACCGGAGCUAAUACCGGAUAAUAUAUUGAACCGCAUGGUUCAAUAGUGAAAGACGGUUUUGCUGUCACUUAUAGAUGGAUCCGCGCCGCAUUAGCUAGUUGGUAAGGUAACGGCUUACCAAGGCAACGAUGCGUAGCCGACCUGAGAGGGUGAUCGGCCACACUGGAACUGAGACACGGUCCAGACCCCUACGGGAGGCAGCAGUAGGGAAUCUUCCGCAAUGGGCGAAAGCCUGACGGAGCAACGCCGCGUGAGUGAUGAAGGUCUUCGGAUCGUAAAACUCUGUUAUUAGGGAAGAACAAAUGUGUAAGUAACUAUGCACGUCUUGACGGUACCUAAUCAGAAAGCCACGGCUAACUACGUG
RNAcentral lists this ribosomal RNA (497 nucleotides) under uncultured bacterium. Its description in RNAcentral is "partial 16S ribosomal RNA". It matches the Rfam family "Bacterial small subunit ribosomal RNA", at positions 28 to 507 of the family's 1533-position model. The record is from RNAcentral.